UAUGCAAGUCGAACGCGAACGGCUCCUUCGGGAGCUAGUAGAGUGGCAAACGGGUGAGUAACGCGUGGGUAACGUACCCUGAUCCUGGGAAUAACCCUCGGAAACGAGGGCUAAUACCGAAUGUGGCGAACGACCGGUUGGUCGCUCGCUAAAGGUGGCCUCUUCUAUGCUGCCGGGUUGGGAUCGGCCCGCGUCCCAUUAGCUAGUUGGUGAGGUAACGGCUCACCAAGGCCACGAUGGGUAGCCGGCCUGAGAGGGUGUACGGCCACACUGGCACUGAGACAAGGGCCAGUCCCCUAUGGGAGGCGCAGGCGGGAAUAGUUCACAAUGGGCGAAACCUGAUGACGCGACGCCGCGUGAGCAAGAAGACCUUCGGGUUGUAAAGCUCUGUCAGGAGGGAAGAAGGCUCUACGGGUUAAUAGCCCGUGGAAUUGACGGUACCUCCAGAGGAAGCCCCGGCUAAAUACGUGCCAGCAGCCGCGGUAAUACGUAUGGGGCAAGCGUUGUCCGGAUUUACUGGGCGUAAAGGGCGCGUAGGCGGUUUGUUAAGUCGRAGGUGAAAUCCUCGGGCUCAACUCGAGAAUUGCCUUCGAUACUGGCAAACUAGAGUGGCGGAGAGGGAAGSRGAACUCUUGGKGURACGGUGGARUGUGUAGAUAUCAAGAGGRACACCGGKNGCGAAGGCGGCUUUCUUGACGCASACUGACGCUCAGGCGCGRAA
This 721-nucleotide ribosomal RNA is filed under the name uncultured candidate division GN1 bacterium. RNAcentral's name for it is "bacterial SSU rRNA". It matches the Rfam family "Bacterial small subunit ribosomal RNA", at positions 54 to 758 of the family's 1533-position model. The record is from RNAcentral.